AACGAACGCUGGCGGCAUGCCUAACACAUGCAAGUCGAACGAGACCUUCGGGUCUAGUGGCGCACGGGUGCGUAACGCGUGGGAACCUGCCCUUAGGUUCGGAAUAACUCCCCGAAAGGGGUGCUAAUACCGGAUAAUGUCUUCGGACCAAAGAUUUAUCGCCUUUGGAUGUGCCCGCGUUGGAUUAGCUAGUUGGUAGGGUAAAAGCCUACCAAGGCGACGAUCCAUAGCUGGUCUGAGAGGAUGAUCAGCCACACUGGGACUGAGACACGGCCCAGACUCCUACGGGAGGCAGCAGUGGGGAAUAUUGGAAAAUGGGCGAGAGCCUGAUCCAGCAAUGCCGCGUGAGUGAUGAAGGCCUUAGGGUUGUAAAGCUCUUUUACCCGGGAUGAUAAUGACAGUACCGGGAGAAUAAGCUCCGGCUAACUCCGUG
RNAcentral lists this ribosomal RNA (433 nucleotides) under uncultured bacterium. RNAcentral describes it as "partial 16S ribosomal RNA". It matches the Rfam family "Bacterial small subunit ribosomal RNA", at positions 29 to 507 of the family's 1533-position model. The record is from RNAcentral.